Molecule: long non-coding RNA, 1517 nt
Organism: Oxyura jamaicensis (ruddy duck)
Lineage: Eukaryota; Metazoa; Chordata; Aves; Anseriformes; Anatidae
Exons: 3
Source: RefSeq, a predicted model, not a curated record
ACAGGGCUCAGAAGGUGUGCUGAUGUCUAUUCUGAAUGCUUUGAUAGCAAAGAAAAGCAUGUUGUGGAGUGUUAGUGAGGAGUAUCUGUGCAAACAGAUGUUUGAUAGCAUAUUGGAAGGGGCUGGACAGGGGUUAUCCAGGGCUGGAACAACAGUUGGACCAGAAGCACCAGACUGAGGUGAAAUAUGCAGCCACGUCUCACAUCCUGAAUCAUUGCUGACAAUGAUUGGAUGGUAUGAUGGAUGACGGGCCUUCUGGGAAUGUGUUGGCUAAUGAAACAUGGCAAUCAGUUUUAUCAAACCUUUGUACAGCUUCACCUGAGGGAAAUCACAUAACUCAGCCGUGACACCAACAGCAGAUUUUCCAGAGGCCUGCUUACAAAACAACAGUAAAACCUGAUAUUUAUUACGUCUACAAUUUGCAAUUUCACACUGAACCCUCCAGCCUGUGGAACCCAUUCAUCCUAGGAAAAGAGCAUCCAUGAGGAAACCAUUUCUGAGCUAUGCAUCUGCAAUGGCAUCGAAAGCUUCAGAGCCAUGAUUACAAUAGCUGGAAGCAUCUCGUCACACGCUGGGCUGCUCAUGCUGGCCAUGAGCAUUGCCAAGGGAUCCUGGCUGGUUCUUCCAGCCUGACUCACUAAGCACCUGCAAGCUGAGGAUCUCGAAAGUUUGCAGAGAGAAAAACAAGAGCUAUGAGCUAUUCCGUUAAAAAAGCUUGCAAAGUCUUUAGACAGGGUGCAGAAGGACGAGGAGGCCUGUAGAAGCCAGAGAAGGUUUGGGCUCAGGAGAAAGUGGAAGCUGUUGUGCUAAAACUUCAGGAUGUUCCCUGGCACUUUUUGGAAGGCUGUCUUGAUUCAGUACCAAUGGCUGCAGAAAAAGGACCAACUCCAAGUCACUGUGGGUUCUAGUCCUGGCCUGACCAGUUCACUGCCUCUUUAACCUCAAGCAUUUGUUCCUGAGGUAACCUUCAGUACUUAGAUUGCUAGCAUUUUAUAAUAACAGAUACGCUUACUCUGUAAGUCACAGAUGACAAGAGGGAUUGGGUAAAUUCCUGAAAUGCAAAGGAGUAAGAGAUGGUGUGAAGAACUUGCAUCAAGACUGUAUGAUACCGUUUUUUGAAAAAAACAGUUUCAGUUAUAUCUUGUAAAAAAUAAAUUAAACAUUCUGGUAGCAUCAAAACAUCUUUGGAAACUGAAGGAAUCCUUUCCAUUUCCUGUUGUGAACAGCUCUUGAAAGAGAUUUCAUGGUUGUGACAUAAAAUUAUCUAUUUUUUUUUCAGAAAUCAGAACUGAAAUGCAUGUUUCAGUUUUACUGAAGCAAAUACUUUCACUCAUGUUUUUGUUUAGUUUUGUUUUUUGGCAGGGCGGUGAAGCAAAGAGAUUACAACUUAAAAUUUUGGCAUGUCUUGAGAAACAGAUAAUGGUCUAUGGUCACCAUUUUUCAGCUUUACACAUAGCUGUUUUUGUAACAGCAUGGCAAGACAGAAGUUGGGACCUUUUCAUAUGAAAACUGUACAA